CUACGGGACGCUGCAGUGGGGAAUAUUGGACAAUGGGGGAAACCCUGGUCCAGCAAUGCCGCGUGUGUGAAGAAGGCCUGCGGGUUGUAAAGCACUUUCGGUUGGGAGGACUGCUUCUAGCACUAAUAUUGUUGGAAGUUGACGUUACCUUCAGAAGAAGCACCGGCUAACUCCGUGCCAGCAGCCGCGGUGAUACGGAGGGUGCAAGCGUUAAUCGGAAUUACUGGGCGUAAAGCGCGCGUAGGCGGCUAGAUCAGUCGGGUGUGAAAGCCCCGGGCUUAACCUGGGAACUGCAUCCGGUACUGGCUAGCUUGAGUACAGGAGAGGAGAGUGGAAUUCCACAUGUAGCGGUGAAAUGCGUAGAUAUGUGGAGGAACACCAAUGGCGAAGGCAGCUCUCUGGCCUGAUACUGACGCUGAGGUGCGAAAGCGUGGGGAGCAAACAGGAUUAGAUACCCUCGUAGUC
RNAcentral lists this ribosomal RNA (465 nucleotides) under uncultured bacterium. RNAcentral's name for it is "partial 16S ribosomal RNA". It matches the Rfam family "Bacterial small subunit ribosomal RNA", at positions 339 to 795 of the family's 1533-position model. The record is from RNAcentral.